This 253-nucleotide ribosomal RNA is filed under the name uncultured bacterium. Its description in RNAcentral is "partial 16S ribosomal RNA". It matches the Rfam family "Bacterial small subunit ribosomal RNA", at positions 524 to 776 of the family's 1533-position model. The record is from RNAcentral.
UACAGAGGGUGCGAGCGUUGUUCGGAAUUAUUGGGCGUAAAGGGCGCGUAGGCGGCGCCACAAGUCACCUGUGAAAACUCUGGGCUCAACCCAGAGCCUGCAGGCGAAGCUGUGGUGCUGGAGUAUGGGAGAGGUGCGUGGAAUUCCCGGUGUAGCGGUGAAAUGCGUAGAUACCGGGAGGAACACCCGUGGCGAAAGCGGCGCGCUGGACCACUACUGACGCUGAGGAACGAAAGCUAGGGGAGCAAACAGG